UACAAGUUUGGAAGGUCUGAAUAGGUAGU
RNAcentral lists this non-coding RNA (29 nucleotides) under Rattus norvegicus (Norway rat). The record is from RNAcentral. Lineage: Eukaryota; Metazoa; Chordata; Mammalia; Rodentia; Muridae.